RNAcentral lists this ribosomal RNA (258 nucleotides) under uncultured bacterium. RNAcentral's name for it is "partial 16S ribosomal RNA". It matches the Rfam family "Bacterial small subunit ribosomal RNA", at positions 99 to 353 of the family's 1533-position model. The record is from RNAcentral.
CGAACGGGUGAGUAACGCGUGAGGAACCUGCCUCAAANAGGGGGACAACAGUUGGAAACGACUGCUAAUACCGCAUAAGCCCACGGGUCGGCAUCGACCAGAGGGAAAAGGAGCAAUCCGCUUUGAGAUGGCCUCGCGUCCGAUUAGCUAGUUGGUGAGGUAAUGGCCCACCAAGGCAACGAUCGGUAGCCGGACUGAGAGGUUGAACGGCCACAUUGGGACUGAGACACGGCCCAGACUCCUACGGGAGGCAGCAUG